CACCCAGCGUGCAGGGAACACUUGAUAAAGUUUAUCCACUUGUUAUAAGGGAUACAGGUGAACAGCCAGAUAGGCCCCCUGUAGUCUUCAACGUUUUCAGGUAGGGUGGCCUUGUACUUCCUGGGGCUUAGGUGAACAUCUCUGCUUAUUAUCUACAAUAUUGAAGAUACUACAGUAUGUUUUAAGUUACAAAAUAAAGAAUAAACUGUAUGUUUACCUAAGACAGGUGAGGAAAUGGAUUUUAAACUUCAUUUAGGUGAAUAGAAAUGUCAGACCUCAGUCCUACCUGCUCUGCUUCCCCAGGGCCUCUGCCCUCAUCUCCUGCUGUGUCCUCUGCUUGCUCACUUUCAGCCACAGGGGCCUCUUUCCUUUUCCUGGCCGGAGCUUGCUCCAGCCUCAGGGCCUUCACUGGGUCCUGUCUCUCUACCUAGCCCUCUACAUGGCCCCUGGGCUGCAGGUGGCCAACCCCUCAGGUCUAUGACAUCACCUGCUCCAUGGAGACUCCUUGAUCGCCCCCAGCUCCUGUCACACUCCAGCCACAACCUGCCCCCACUCUGGUCCAUGCAGCUUGCUGUGUCUGUCUCUUUCUCCUCCUUUACUGUCCACUACCUGGAUCCUGAUAAGAACAAGGGUCCAAGAGAUGGGCAGAGCCAGAAGGUGGGUGGUGGGCUGGGCCUGCCCCUCCGGGAGGUGCUCAACGUUGGCUUCCCAUGAGUGCUGAGGCAUUUUGCAAGCAGUCUGUCCACCUACUGGACAUCUCAUUGAUGGGUGCACAGCCUUAAUAAGUAAGGUUGAUUCUCUUCUGUGUGCAGCAUUGAGUACUCAGUCCUUUUAUUAUUUAUUUAUUUGUUUAUUAUGGUGCUGGGGAUGGAACAUAGGGGCACUUAACCAUUUAGGCACAUCACAUCCCCAGCCCUUUUUAUUUUGAGACAGGUUCUUGCUAAAUUGUGUAGGGCCUCACUAUGUUGCUGAAUCCUCCUUCCUUAGCCUCCCAAGUCACUGGGAUUACAGGCAUGCACCACCACAUCCAGAGCUGUGUACCUGGCUCUGUGUCCUCCAUCCUGAGGGCUGAGAUCCCAGGGGAAGUGAGGGGGGCUAUGCUGUAGUUCAGUUUGGUGAGAGCCAGACUGUGCCCUGAAGGGGAGCCCAGUGCUGCCCAGCUCCCCACUGCUGCAGCCUGUGUGUGGGCUUCACCAGGAGGGAGACCAGGCCCAAAGAAAGGAGUCAGAGAUGUCUCCUCUGGGCCUUCUUCCAGGGGUGUAUUGUGCCUGGGUCAGCCUGGAAGGGUGGGCAGCCAGGGACCAUCUUCUCACAUGCUGAGGUCCUCCCUGUGUGUGUGGCUGUGGCAUAGGAAGGAUGUGUUGAUUCUGAGCCUUAAACAGUAUGUUUCCUCCUUCCAGGAUUGACUUGUAAAGACUCGUGUUACCUGAGGAAACAGCCCUGAAGAGGAGGAGGAAAGAAAAGGAGUCAGGAAUGGCUGUCACUGAGGUACAGUGAUGCUCUCAGGUGGUCCUGAGUCCCCUGUGCAGUGCUGGGCCUGGGAGCUGCUGGCCUCAGGUGACUCUGCAGCCUCCUGCCUGUCAGGUGUGCCUGCACUCCCCCGGGGCCUCCCUUCCCCCAUCCUCUGUGCUCAGAUUCCAUCCCACUGAGACCUGUGGCAGGGAACCCAUGAAGAGGCACCACUGUUGUGUUCCUGGGAAGGAUUUCACAGCCUGGCAGGGUUGUGGCCUGUGAGGGCUUGUGUGUCAGUCCUGUUGGGCAGCAGGGAUCAU
RNAcentral lists this long non-coding RNA (1772 nucleotides) under Marmota monax (woodchuck). The record is from RNAcentral. Lineage: Eukaryota; Metazoa; Chordata; Mammalia; Rodentia; Sciuridae.